Mastomys coucha (southern multimammate mouse) is the source of this 812-nucleotide long non-coding RNA. RefSeq lists it as uncharacterized. The record is from RefSeq and is a predicted model, not a curated record. Lineage: Eukaryota; Metazoa; Chordata; Mammalia; Rodentia; Muridae. The transcript is spliced from 2 exons.
CAGAGCGGCCUGGUCCUUGUCCGGGAUGCGCGUUUCACCCUGCCCUGAGCUCAUCCUGCGUUCCCUGGGGCAGCGCAGGAGUCAGCUUGGGAGAGGUACCUUCCCUGCUUGAAGGAGCAGCAGCUGGCUCUAGGCUUCUCUGACCGCAUAAACAAAUUUGUGCGCAUCACAGGGAACUGGAAACAACUCAUGCUCAAGGCAAGAAGUCAUUUUUCUCGUCCCUGCAUUCACUUUUCCCUUCCACGAAUCCCAGAGGAAUCUACUAAGCUGGAGGUAUGGAUUCACUCCAAGAAAAGGUACUCUUGCCUCAGGGACCAUCCGGAGAUCUCACAGUCCAACCACACCCCAAUUCCCAAGAGCCUGCUCAUUUGAGGCUGCACAUUUGAAUCCUAUUGGGGGACGGAGCGAUUAGAGCGGUCAACCAAUCAAGAGCAAGUAUCAUUGGCUAUGACAAAACGAGCUUGAAGAGUGGCAGAGUCCACGUACUCUGCCGGUGUGUGCAUGGUGCAGGACCACCUACUGGAGCAUGAGAAACCUGCCAGGCGCUGCAUCCCUGAAAAACCAACACUCCUCCUGACAGCAGCCAUCAACUGCUAAUAACUUUUCAGUCAGGGUGGGACUUCAGGGGCCCACCCCCCACCCAUGCUAGGGUUUGGUUGGCUUGGUCUCAUGCCUGCAGUCACAGUCGAUGUGACCCUCAUCGUGUCCAGCCGACACCGUUUCACUGCAGGCACCCAUGGCGUCUGGUUCUUACAAUGCUCCCUGAGCCUUGUGGAAAGGAAAGGAAAGGGGAUAUAAAUGUCUCACUUAGA